Molecule: long non-coding RNA, 482 nt
Filed under: Carica papaya (papaya)
Lineage: Eukaryota; Viridiplantae; Streptophyta; Magnoliopsida; Brassicales; Caricaceae
Description: long non-coding RNA (CPAP_LNC001033)
Source: RNAcentral
AUCGAGUCAAAUUAUGUUCAAGGUUUUAGGAUUUUGAAAUUCACAAUGCGUAACUACUAGGAAAUUGCACCAUUGCACACCUUCACAUGCUAUCACCAGAUCGUACACGCGCCAUCGCUAGAAACUACAAAGUGUCGCUGCUACCCGACCAGUAAUCGCCAUAGAAUCAGGCGUGACUGGAUCUGCUUAGUCUCCCUCCUGCAUGCAAAUCCUUGCUAUUGGAUCGCCGUAAGCCAACAUUGUACGUGCAGAUCAACGUUCCUUUUUCAACAAAACUGUCGCACGCACGUUCUUCUUCCUCGAGUAGUUCAACUGGCCGUCACUUUUUCUUUUAGCUCAGACGUGCACAAGCAAAGCCGCCCUACUUUUUGCCUGAUCUCGCUACAGUCCACCUCCAUAAGUCAAAUUAGUUGCGACCUCUUUUUUUCUCUCUUUCUCCCCUUCUCUCUUUCUUUCUACAAAUAGCUCCCUUUUUCUCUCUU